Portunus trituberculatus (swimming crab) is the source of this 2311-nucleotide long non-coding RNA. RefSeq lists it as uncharacterized. The record is from RefSeq and is a predicted model, not a curated record. Lineage: Eukaryota; Metazoa; Arthropoda; Malacostraca; Decapoda; Portunidae. The transcript is spliced from 2 exons.
ACAGUGUUGUGGAGCGAGGCAUUGGCCAGUUGAAGUGCAGAUUUCACAUCCUGCUUAGUAAAAUCCACCUCAACCCACACAAGGCCUGCUGCAUAAUUCUUGCAUGUGGUGUGUUACGCAAUGUCUGCAAGAGCAGGCAUAUUUCCCUGCUAGAGGAUGACUGGAAGGAGGAGGCAGUACAACCUGAGGAAGAGAACAUGCAAGGUUACAUUCCAUUUUGUAUACACUGCAUGCUAUUUGUUAAUUUCUGUUGGUACUAUUUUAAAUUAUAUAAGAAUGUUAUGCCAUUACUAUUCUGCUUAUUAUUAUUAUUAUUAUUAUUAUUAUUAUUAUUUAUUUUAUUUUUUUAAUGUGACAUCUUACAUAGCCUUAAACAAUGGGCUUCCAUUCAACAGCAGUUGUAGUAGGCAAUGCAUUGGAUGCUCAUGUCAUCAUAUAUUAUUAAAAUGUUAAAGAAUAUAAAUAUAUUUGGUAACUUCAGGGAAGUUGAUAUUAUCACACAUGCCUUUAACUCCCCUUCUUAAUCCAUUCCCAUCUACAUACACUUAAAUGAUUACUCAUGUCUUGCAGUGGUGCAGCAUGAGAUGGCUGUGUCAUGGGCUGUGUCACCUCUCUCCCUGGUGCAUCACAUCUGUCUCACAGACUGUGUCACCUGUCUUCCUUGUGCAUCAUAAUGUGAUACCCAGCACAACAUCACAGCAGUUCCCCGGAAUACCUGACACUGGUCUCGUUGGGUAAAUCACACUGGUCUCACUGGCUAUCUGACACUGGUCUCCCUUGCUGCCUCACACCAGUCUCCUUGAAACCAGUCUUGUUGGGUACAUCACACUGAUUUCCUUUGCUGCCUCACACCAGUCUCACCAGUCUCGUUGGGUAUAUCACACUGGUCUCACUGGCUACCUGACACCAGUCUCUUGGGCUGCUUCACCCUGGUCUCACUAGCUGCCUCACACUGUUCUUUUGAGCUGCCUCACAACAGUCUUACUGGAGAAAGUAAUUGAAUUAUUUAGACUAUUUAUUUGGCUAUUUGUAUAUCCUAUACAUCGUGACUAUAAGGUUAAAUGAAAUAAAAAAAAAUAGUAUUUAAAUGCAAAAAAUGCAAGACUGAAAGUGUUAGUGGUUAUAUUGAUAUGAAAAAGAUUUACUUACUUUCUGGGCUGUUCAGCUUUUCAGAGAGGCAAUGUAUGCCGUAUAGGCAUCAAUACCUCUCUCAUAGUGCUGAACAGCCAGCACAUACUGUGCUGCCAACACCUCACACAGUUGCUGGUUUGCAACAACAGGAAGUUGGGGAGUAGGUGGCACAGGUGGUGGGUGGACAGUGAGUGAUGGAGGAUGAGUGGUGGUGGAAGGAGGUGAUGGAUCAUCCACAUAUUCAUCAAUAGUGAUGAUAUGUGGGUGAUCCACCUUAUUACCAGCCUGAGAAGUUAAAGACACUGUGGCUUCAGCUCUGCAUAAGAAAAAAAAUCUUUAGCAAGAGCACUACCAUCAUCCAGAAUUUUGGUAAAGGUAACAUCUUUGAUAAAAUGCAUAAGCACAGGUUCUUCUAAAAAUAAUUUGAUAAUCACUUACUUCAGGAACAUGUUGGUACUGUCUCCCUCCUCUUCAUCCACAAAAAUUCCACCAACAGCCACACUGUCCCUAGCCAAGAUGUCCAAAAAAAAUUCAGUGGCCUCAUCAGGCUUUUUGGGAGGAGGACCACCAACUCUAAAUUGAAAGAUUUAAGAUUCUGAGAACUACCACCAUCAUUAACUGAUUAAUUUAGAUUAAAAUUUCAAGUAAAAGGAUUUAAUACAGAACAAAUGUAAAGAUUCCAUUGAAUUACAAUACAACUCACCUGUCUGUGUGAGGGCUCUCCUAUACAGGGGAUCCUCGCAAUUUGACGGGGUUAGGGCAGCUUUUCAUCGGUCGAAUCAGCGUUUAUUCAAAUCGUGAAGCAAUUUUUCCCACAAGAUACUUAAGAAUUAGGGGUGAUAGGAACCAACCUCCAGCCUAGACAGCCCUAAAACAUCACUAUAACCUCUAAAAAAACACUAACUUAGACUAAAUCAGUACUAUUAAAGGCUUCAUUUGUAUCGCAUGUGGUAGCUUCGGUUUAAGGGUGUAUCACACUUGCCUAUGAUACGCAGAACGCUGGCCAUGGUUCUUGGUACGAAACCAGGAACAUUAUCACACACAAGCUGGCCACAUUUUUGCUCUGCUAGGCAAAUGGCCCAGCAACCAAGACCAAGCCUAAUCAAAACAAACCAGAACAAAACCAUGCUGCUUUUAUCUCAACCUGUGCUUCGUGCUGCCAUUGCACUUGCAUUUCCAG